AUACGCACAUAUGUGCCUUCCAAUCCCAGCACGAUCUCACGAUUCUGCCUCCUCAUCUCUGUCGUUUCGGAGGACGACGGGGUGUUGACGCCGGCGCCGGCGCCGGCCGCUGAGUUCAUCUUUGCCAAAAUGGCAGAAGAAGUUUGGACAUUGCGGUUUUUCAAGCAUGAUCAUGGUCCAGGGGCAAUGGUUGUUGAGGAGCCAAUGGAUCGAGACCUUGUCUGCUUUUUCAAUAUGGUUGAGAUAAUAGAGAAGCUUGGGUACCAGAAAAGUGAUGAAAUGUUUUUUGCCCAACCUGGAUGUUACUGCCGCACAUCAAUGACAAGAAUCAAGGGUGACAGCAAUGUCAUGGACAUGCUUAGGGAAAAUGAUAGCAUAAAUAAAGUUGACAUACAUAUUUUUGACAGAAAAGUUGCCUCAAGCAGUGCACUAGAAGAGGAUGUUGUUGCAGAUGCCACUGAUAAUGUGGAGGCAAAUAAAAAUAGAGAUUUAGAAGAAAAAGGAUCUGAACAGUUGAAGAACAGUGAUGAAGACUUGUGGAUGGACCAGGGUCGCGUGAGCCAGAAAACCAAGCUCAAAGAUCACAUGAGCCAAGUAGUCAAGAUCACAUCAAUAACCAUCAACCAAGUUCAUAUCAGCCAAUCAAUGAAGGGGGAACAAGCAGGGGAAGGAAACUUGAUUCAAGGAGGGGGUGUGCUAUAGGAAGCACCAUGAAGGAAAAUGCUAGAGGAACUACAGACAGGGGAAGAGAAAAUGCAAGAGGAACUAUAGUCAGGGGAAGAGGAAAUGCUAGAGGAACUAUAGUCAGGGGAAGAGGAAAUGCUAGAGGAACCACAGUUAGGGGAAGAGGUGUAGGGCACACUUCCCUCAACCAAUGGAUCCCAUAGAGAAUUCAUCCAUGUGUUCCUCAGUCGUUAAUUAUCUUUAUUUAGUUGUUACCAAGGAUUUUAUUAUGUGACUUGUUUUCUGGUCAGUGAUCACCAUUC
Molecule: long non-coding RNA, 986 nt
Filed under: Oryza sativa Indica Group (long-grained rice)
Lineage: Eukaryota; Viridiplantae; Streptophyta; Magnoliopsida; Poales; Poaceae
Description: lncRNA OsMH63_09G003280
Source: RNAcentral